Molecule: long non-coding RNA, 287 nt
Filed under: Homo sapiens (human)
Lineage: Eukaryota; Metazoa; Chordata; Mammalia; Primates; Hominidae
Description: non-protein coding lnc-MUC20-67:89
Source: RNAcentral
CCAGGCAGCUGCUCCCAACCCCAGAACCUUUGCUGUCUUGGGACGGAUCACCGCUGCAAGAGGGGAAGUUGCUACUGUGAUGAAUUCUGCCAUGUGGCACCAGACUGCCACCCAGACCACAGUGUCCUCUGCAACCCUGGUCAAAGGUGCCUACAUGCUCCUUCUAGCUUUGUUUCCCUGAUGUUCCUUGCCACCUGCUACUCCUCUCUGAGCUACUUUUCCAGCUUCUCAGAUGACCAAGAUGGUGCUGCAGAUGGUGCUGAGGAUGGAGAACCCACCAAGCCCCG